UACGGGAGGCAGCAGUGGGGAAUUUUGGAUAAUGGGGGAAACCCUGAUCCAGCCAUCCCGCGUGUGCGAUGAAGGCCUUCGGGUUGUAAAGCACUUUUGGCAGUGGAAAGAAACGGCACGGGACAAUAAUUCUUGCGCAACUGACGGUACCUUGCAGGAAUAAGCACCGGCUAACUACGUGCCACAGCAGCCGCGGUAAUACGUAGGUGCAAGCGUUAAUCGGAAUUACUGGGCGAAGCGCAGGCGGUUCGGAAAGAAAGAUGUGAAAUCCCAGAGCUAACUUUGGAACUGCAUUUUUAACUACCGAGCUAGAGGUCAGAGGGAGGUGGAAUUCGCGUGUAGCAGUGAAACGCAGAUAUGCGGAGGAACACCGAUGGCGAAGGCAGCCUCCUGGGAUAACACUGACGCUCAUGCACGAAAGCGCGGGGAGCAAACAGGAUUAGAUACCCUGGUAGU
This 456-nucleotide unclassified non-coding RNA is filed under the name uncultured Bordetella sp. Its description in RNAcentral is "partial 16S-23S ribosomal RNA intergenic spacer". It matches the Rfam family "Bacterial small subunit ribosomal RNA", at positions 340 to 794 of the family's 1533-position model. Lineage: Bacteria; Pseudomonadati; Pseudomonadota; Betaproteobacteria; Burkholderiales; Alcaligenaceae. The record is from RNAcentral.